Molecule: ribosomal RNA, 111 nt
Filed under: bacterium
Lineage: Bacteria
Source: RNAcentral
UAAGGGGAUUAUACUGGAGGUGCUCCACCUGUUCCCAUUCCGAACACAGAAGUGAAAUCCUCCAAGGCCGAUGAUACUGGUUAUUGCCGGGAAAGUAGGUAGUCCCCCUAU